AUUCAUCUGACGAGUUCAAAAUAGGACUAAACGCGCGUCCUGGAC
RNAcentral lists this non-coding RNA (45 nucleotides) under Schistosoma margrebowiei. The record is from RNAcentral. Lineage: Eukaryota; Metazoa; Platyhelminthes; Trematoda; Strigeidida; Schistosomatidae.